Molecule: long non-coding RNA, 413 nt
Filed under: Trifolium pratense (red clover)
Lineage: Eukaryota; Viridiplantae; Streptophyta; Magnoliopsida; Fabales; Fabaceae
Description: long non-coding RNA (TPRA_LNC008891)
Source: RNAcentral
ACCUGAUAUGAGUCCUUUCGGUCAUGAUAUAAUUUUAUCCAGUUGGCGAGCUCAAUUGAGUAAUAAUGGUUCAAACCCUUCCUUGUUUAGAGCAGUCUAUAAUGCAUCUGGAUGGCCAUAGCCAUGGUUUAUCGAAGGUACUUUUCUGAACAAAAUCACAGUUUCCACCCCUGUGCUAGAUAAAUCAAAGUUCAUAAAACAUUGAAGCUUGCACCUUUGCUAUUUAAUAUUUAUAUAUUUAUUCCAUAUGCUUGUUCACUGUUGUAACAAUGUUGUUCACUUGGAGAGAAAACAGGAAUAUUCCAAAUGAUAUUUAGCCCUUAUCCCGCCUUUUUUUAUAUUGACUUGCCUUUUGUGAAGUAAAUUCAUGUCAAUAUUAAAAAACCACUACCUUGCCCAAGACGAAACCAAAA